AUUGAACGCUGGCGGCAGGCCUAACACAUGCAAGUCGAACGAGUGGCGGACGGGUGAGUAAUGUCUGGGAAACUGCCCGAUGGAGGGGGAUAACUACUGGAAACGGUAGCUAAUACCGCAUACCAUCAGAUGUGGCGAGAUGGGAUUAGCUAGUAGGUGGGGUAACGGGUCACCUAGGCGACGAUCCCUAGCUGGUCUGAGAGGAUGACCAGCCCCACUGGAACUGAGACACGGUCCAGACGCCUACGGGAGGCAGCGUGGGGGAAUAUUGCGCAAUGGGCGCAAGCCUGAUGCAGCCAUGCCGCGUGUAUGAAGAAGGCCUGCGGGUUGUAAAGUACUUUCAGCGGGGAGGCGUUACCCGCAGAAGAAGCACCGGCUAACUCCGUGCCAGCCGCCGCGGUAAUUC
RNAcentral lists this ribosomal RNA (406 nucleotides) under uncultured bacterium. RNAcentral's name for it is "partial 16S ribosomal RNA". It matches the Rfam family "Bacterial small subunit ribosomal RNA", at positions 29 to 526 of the family's 1533-position model. The record is from RNAcentral.